UACGUAGGGGGCAAGCGUUGUCCGGAAUCAUUGGGCGUAAAGAGCGUGUAGGCGGCCCGAUAAGUCCGCUGUGAAAGUCCAGGGCUCAACCCUGGAAUGCCGGUGGAUACUGUCGGGCUAGAGUCCGGGAGGGGCGAGUGGAAUUCCUGGUGUAGCGGUGAAAUGCGCAGAUAUCAGGAGGAACACCAAUGGCGAAGGCAGCUCGCUGGGACGUGACUGACGCUGAGACGCGAAAGCGUGGGGAGCAAACAGG
Molecule: ribosomal RNA, 253 nt
Filed under: uncultured bacterium
Lineage: Bacteria
Description: partial 16S ribosomal RNA
Rfam family: Bacterial small subunit ribosomal RNA
Source: RNAcentral